Molecule: long non-coding RNA, 2631 nt
Organism: Pan troglodytes (chimpanzee)
Lineage: Eukaryota; Metazoa; Chordata; Mammalia; Primates; Hominidae
Exons: 3
Source: RefSeq, a predicted model, not a curated record
UUCCCUUUUGUGAAGAAGCAGGGCAUUUAGAAUCCAAAGCCGGGAGCUGGGGUUCUCAUGCUAGAGGGUGUCUUUGGUUCCAGGACUGCUCAGUGCUCCACGCUGAAAACUCAGUCCAGGAGGAGAAGGACCUGUGAUAUUUGGCUUUCCCAGGAAACUCCUACAUUCCUUCUCCAGAUCAAAUCUAAAAACAGGUUUGUAGAAUAUUCACUCCAGCUCUAAGAGAUGGCAGAAGGUGCCAGGAGUCCAUUGCCAGGAACACACUUUCCUCAGUCUCGUAAAUGAACCUGCACAGAUGGCAAAGCUAAGCAAAGGACACUGCAAGACAGUGGGCAAUGCGGUUCAAAGACGAAGGUGAAAGAUGUAUUUGCUUUCCUGUUUUUCUACUGAAGCAGCAACUGGGACAAGGAAGGAAAUGCUGCCCAAAAGUGAGCCCAGCUAGAAGACAAAUGGCAACAUUUGAAGAUGGAGCCCAGGGGUGGUCCCAUGGCUGCCAUCCUGCUCUCCCUCCUGGGGAGACAGUUGUGCAGCAGCCCAUCUCGGAGAGGGCACUGGACCAGUGACAGCAAUGAGAGCCUUCAAGGAGGGCUCUGGCACAGGGAAGCUCAGUUCAUCUGACUUUCAUUAGGGGCCACAGGCUUGUGUGGCACAAACAGGUGCCAUUAGUUAGGUACAACCAGAUGUUUUUGAUGGUGCUUGAGAUGAACCAUGAGCCUCUACAAAGACAGGUUGGCCACUUCUGAUGAAAACUCCACCCUCUAGCCAAGGAUGAUGCUACUCCCAUGCAGGUCCCCAAUGUGGGGGACACUGGAAAUAGCAACCAGGGUUCACCUUCUGCUCAACCAAACUUUAAUCAGACAAAAGCAGACAGCAGCAGCUGAGGAGACACAAGGAUUUUUGCAUCUAUGCGGUAACAGGUAUUGUGGAAUUAUAUGGAAAGCCAUCUAUUUGUCCAUAAUCCAAUACAGAACAAAUUAAAAUACUGCCAAUAAGCCCACUAAAACAAACAUUAUGUAAGAUGAAAACAGGGAGAAUUUCAAAGAAACAAUGUCACAUAAUUUCCAGUGUCCUUUAUUCAUUUAACACUACUGGUGUGUUGUUUGCUUUUUUUAAAAAAAAUCCAAUGCCUACUCUGCCUGUACUUUUACCACAUGCUGUGGACACAAAGGUCAGAGACAAGACAGAGACACUACCCUCAUUGAGAAGACAUACGUCUCCAUUCAUUAUUAUUUUUUUUUAAACUGUACUCUAAAUUUACAUGUUGGUAAAAAAAUACUAAUUUUUGACACAUAAUCCUAUCUCUCAGUCAGCAACAACAGAUGAUGAACAAGGAAAAUAACAGCAGAAAAGAAUGCAAAUACAAAUAUAAGUUAUUUAUAUUAAUUCAAAUAUAAUUUUUCAAAGUUUUUUAUUUUUUGUCUUUUUGAGAUAGUGUCUCCCUCUGUCACCCAAGCUGGAGUGCAGUGGCGCCAUCUGAGCUCAUUGCAGCCUCGACCCCUGGGGCUUAAACAAUUCUCCUGAGUAGCUGGGACUACAGGUGUGUGCCACCACACCACCUAAUUUUUUUUUAAUCUUUUGUAGAGAUGGGGUCUCACCAUGUCCAGCUGGAAGAUUUUUUUGACAAUGCAAAUUUAUACUAAUUGUUUAAAUACAGAAAGAUCCUGUGCACAUUUAGAGGCAUUUAUAUUUUGCCACUUGUGAUGGUUAACAGUGAGUGUCAACUUGAUUGGACUGAAGGAUGCAAAGUACUGAUCCUGGGUGUGUCUGUGAGGGUGUUGCCAAAGGAGACUAACAUUUGAGUCAGUGGACUGGGAAAAACAGACCCACCCUUAAUCUCAGUGGGCACCAUCUAAUCAGCUGCCAGUGCAGCCAAAAUAUAAAGUAGACAGAAAAACAUAAAGAGGCUAGAAUGGCUUAGCAUCUUUCUCCCGCACUGGAUGCUUCCUGCCCUCGCACAUCAGACUCCGGCUUUGGGACUCGAACUGCCUUCCUUGCUCCUCAGCUUGCAGACGGACUAUUGUGGGACCCUGUGAACGUAAUGAAGCUGGAGCCCAUCCGCAGGGAGUCCUCCCCGUGCUCUUGGUGGUGUGGACCAGCUUCCCACCAAGAUGGGAGCCAGAGGAGCCGCCUGGGUCCCAGCUGCCUCACCCCUUCUCCCUGUGUCCACUCUGAAACAGUGGGGACAAGGAGCCGUCUGAGAGAUGAAGCUGCAGUCCCCGUGACCCACCGCAUGUCCGGGACAGAUCAGACCCUCCAGGAAAUACCGCUGGUGAGAUGAGACUGUCUUCUGUCUGGGCAAGGGCUAAUUUGCAUUCAGUCGUGCCCCAGCCUUACUCCUAAAGACACCUGCUCUUUCUGCACAUCAAGGGAGGGCUGGUGCUGCAACUGAAUGGAAAAUACAAUUCAGAGCCAUCAAAAUAAAGGCCCGGUCACCUUAGAAAAUGGAAAUGUUCACACUGUUAAAUCCUUCAUGAUAACCCGAGGAGAAUGGAUAAGAUCAAUUACUGUUCCGGGUUUCUUCCAAAUCUGAAUUUCUGCAACAUGGUUUGAUCUCUAUGAAUGACUAACAUUUUCAUAUUAAAACUGAUAAAGAGUUGUACCUGCUACUUGAUAAAAACAUUUCUGGCAUCA